RNAcentral lists this transfer RNA (69 nucleotides) under Mephitis mephitis (striped skunk). RNAcentral describes it as "tRNA-Gly". It matches the Rfam family "tRNA". From Rfam's summary of the family: Transfer RNA (tRNA) molecules are approximately 80 nucleotides in length. Lineage: Eukaryota; Metazoa; Chordata; Mammalia; Carnivora; Mephitidae. The record is from RNAcentral.
AUUUCUCUAGUAUAAAUUAGUACAAUUGACUUCCAAUUAAUUAGUUUCGGUAUGAUCCGAAGAGAAAUA